RNAcentral lists this long non-coding RNA (232 nucleotides) under Ananas comosus (pineapple). Its description in RNAcentral is "long non-coding RNA (ACOM_LNC022453)". The record is from RNAcentral. Lineage: Eukaryota; Viridiplantae; Streptophyta; Magnoliopsida; Poales; Bromeliaceae.
GUUCUUGGCUCUUCAAUGUCACUCACUACCUUUAUGUCAACAUGUCACACUUGUUCUCUAAUCCACUAAGUUCUUGUCAUUUUUCAUGCAUACAUAGGGUUUAUAGAUUCUUACUUGUAUUUCACAUGCAUUUGAACUCACAACAUGCAAUAAGAAGCUCACAAUAACCCUACUAUACAAUAUACUCAAUACAUGCAAAUGCUCAAAUAUGACACUUUAGAUAUAAAAGGAA